AACGAACGCUGGCGGCAUGCCUAACACAUGCCAGUCGAACGAGACCUUCGGGUCUAGUGGCGCACGGGUGCGUAACGCGUGGGAACCUGCCCUUAGGUUCGGAAUAACUCCCCGAAAGGGGUGCUAAUACCGGAUAAUGUCUUCGGACCAAAGAUUUAUCGCCUUUGGAUGGGCCCGCGUUGGAUUAGUUAGUUGGUAGGGUAAAAGCCUACCAAGGCGACGAUCCAUAGCUGGUCUGAGAGGAUGAUCAGCCACACUGGGACUGAGACACGGCCCAGACUCCUACGGGAGGCAGCAGUGGGGAAUAUUGGACAAUGGGCGAAAGCCUGAUCCAGCAAUGCCGCGUGAGUGAUGAAGGCCUUAGGGUUGUAAAGCUCUUUUACCCGGGAUGAUAAUGACAGUACCGGGAGAAUAAGCUCCGGCUAACUCCGUG
Molecule: ribosomal RNA, 433 nt
Filed under: uncultured bacterium
Lineage: Bacteria
Description: partial 16S ribosomal RNA
Rfam family: Bacterial small subunit ribosomal RNA
Source: RNAcentral